CAGCCGCCACGGGAAUACAGAGGGUGCGAGCGUUAAUCGGAUUUACUGGGCGUAAAGCGUGCGUAGGCGGCUUCUUAAGUCGGAUGUGAAAUCCCUGAGCUUAACUUAGGAAUUGCAUUCGAUACUGGGAAGCUAGAGUAUGGGAGAGGAUGGUAGAAUUCCAGGUGUAGCGGUGAAAUGCGUAGAGAUCUGGAGGAAUACCGGUGGCGAAGGCGGCCCCCUGGACAAAGACUGACGCUCAGGUGCGAAAGCGUGGGGAGCAAACAGGAUUAGAUACCCCCGUAGUCCCUGUCUCUUAUAC
This 301-nucleotide ribosomal RNA is filed under the name uncultured bacterium. Its description in RNAcentral is "partial 16S ribosomal RNA". It matches the Rfam family "Bacterial small subunit ribosomal RNA", at positions 509 to 807 of the family's 1533-position model. The record is from RNAcentral.